AAGUCGUAACAAGGUUUCCGUAGGUGAACCUGCGGAAGGAUCAUUAACACGUAUCCAACGUAAAAAAACCCCCUGUGAACAUUCAAACCUGCUCUCGUAGCCCAGUGCGAUGCAACCGGGUCCCACGCCCCUUUACAACCCCAUUACCUCUGUGAGUCGCGGGAAACUAGCGGCUAAAAAACCUGAACAACUGUUAACAAUGGAUAUCUGGUUCUC
This 216-nucleotide unclassified non-coding RNA is filed under the name fungal sp. RNAcentral's name for it is "partial internal transcribed spacer region". The stretch from base 1 to 46 matches the Rfam family "Eukaryotic small subunit ribosomal RNA", at positions 1786 to 1831 of the family's 1831-position model. The record is from RNAcentral. Lineage: Eukaryota; Fungi.